This is a non-coding RNA of Pelobates cultripes (western spadefoot toad), 77 nucleotides long. The record is from the annotation of a GenBank genome assembly. Lineage: Eukaryota; Metazoa; Chordata; Amphibia; Anura; Pelobatidae.
UGUGUUUGUAUGAGUGUGUGUGUGUAUAUAAUGCAGGGUGUGUGCAUUAUAUACACACACACUCAUACAAACACACA